Molecule: long non-coding RNA, 1104 nt
Organism: Camellia sinensis
Lineage: Eukaryota; Viridiplantae; Streptophyta; Magnoliopsida; Ericales; Theaceae
Source: RefSeq, a predicted model, not a curated record
AAUACACAACUGACCGAACCAAUGAGUCUUUCAAGCAAAUUGUUGAUAAGAUGAAGAUGGCAAUGUCAUAUGUCCACAUAUAUGUAUAAGCGAUGUUUGUGGAAUUGGAAACCUAACUGGUAAAGCAAUAUCAUAUGUCCAUUAAUAUAUAUAUAUAUAUAUAUACACCAGAAUGUGUAAUUGGAAACCCAAUUGUUAAUUUUGGGAUGAAUUAAGGCAGAGGAGAGGGUCCAUCGUUGAAAAUGAGAAAGUAUUUGUAUGAGGGGUAUUCCAAUUCACACAUCAUCCAGCCCUCCACCGCCCCUACCUCCCUUAGAUCCACCUCCAUCCAGCCCCACUGCGCCAUCACUAUCGUCCUCCAUCACCCCAUUCCCCAAAUCCAUAUUUUCCAGCGAAACCUCCUCUCCCUAGACCCAUCAUUUUUGGCGACCCCCUUGCCCUUUGUAGAUCCAUCUUCUCCAGCAGAGAGAGAAGCAGAUGGAAAGCAAAAAGGGCAUAUUCAUAUGUGACAAGGUGUAUGAUCUGUUCCCGACCUUUAUUUCCGGAGCUAGUUUAGGGUUUUGAGCAAAUAUUGUAUUUUUUUUUUUCAUGGAACUACAGGCUUUGGAUUUGUAGGUUGCUUAUUUAUAUAGAUAUUUAUUACUAUUUGUUCCUGGGUUCACGCUUGGAUCAUUGUCUGUGUAUUUGUGGUACACAAUAGAUACAUACGUAAUAAUACUAAUGCUUUGUAUGACUGGACAUUGCUGCUUGCAACCUAAAACAAAUAGAUGUGAAAACUUGGCAAAGGUAAAUGGCUACAAGAGCCACAGAUUUACGUGAGGCCCUGUUGCUACAAGCAUCUGUCCUGGGGCCAUUGGCACAUACAUAAUUUUCCGAAAACUUGUCAUUGGCAUAAUUUCUCAAGAGGGCUAAGGGAAGAAGUAACAAGAGGGGAGGUAGCCAAGGGUGCUGUAAGGGUAGAGGAGCUGCCAAGAGGUAUGAUAGAGAGAGAUGUAAAAGAUAUCAUUGAGCAGAAAGUCCAUGGGACUUGGAGCUUAUGGAUUCAAUUAUCCUUGAGCAGGGGUCUUGGAUAUUGAUGUUGGAUUAUCGAUGUUUUUGAUCUCA